Acanthosepion pharaonis is the source of this 106-nucleotide non-coding RNA. Lineage: Eukaryota; Metazoa; Mollusca; Cephalopoda; Sepiida; Sepiidae. The record is from the annotation of a GenBank genome assembly.
UACAGCCACAUCACGUUGAAACACAAGUUCCCAUACGAAGUUAAACAACGUUGAACCUGGUCAGUAACUAGAUGGGUGACCGCUUGGGAAUACCAGGUGCUGUAAG